UCUCCCACGUUAAUGUGUUGUCUUCAUCAAGUCUGUGUUAUCCUUUGUGAUGUACCUGGGCAGGCUAAGUAACAGAAUUUUAAUUCUAAUUUUAACAAAAGCCAGCCCUACUGAUCUCUUUCUCUGGUGGUUCCAUCCUGGGCUUAAGCUUAGCCUAAGAAAUGUGACUGAUGGAAUGCAUAUGCUGGAAUGUGUUUUCUCCACUGAGUGAGAAAGAAAAGCGACAAAAAUGGAACUAUCCUGGAAAAAAUUAUGGUUCCAGAAUCUCUGGUGCUUGCACUUGUGUGGCUCUCUGCUGGUGGCUCCCUGGACACCCUAAAUUAGAAGUUCACAGUGAUUUGGGGUAUCCCUGAGUGGCUGAAGCCACCAGAGAUGUUCCUUGCUGCUGCUUGACUACUUGCACAAGAGCACUCCAUUCUAGAUAAGAAUAAUAAACCCCCUCAUCUUGCAGGGAAAUUGGGAAAAUAAGUCAAUUAGUGUGUUGGAAGCGAUCUGAUACUGCACUGGCAAACACAGAAAAAUGCUGGUUUAGAUCUUGGACUAAAUAGUGUGCAAAAAGUAAGGCUCUAGACCAGUAAUGAACAGUGACAGAAGGAGAAAUUAUUGAAUUGUUGCUCAUUUAGUGAACGUGAUUCCUGCUGUGCACUGGAUGAAAUUGCCCUGUGGGGAAAAUAGAGACACGAGGAUAAUUCUUACAAAAAGAGGAAUGACUUGUGGUUGCAGAGAGAAGCUCAUAUUUAGCAUUUCCUCACUCUUGAGUGAUAAGUGUGACCAUCCAAAAUCAUUCCUGAGAAUCGCGUGUGGGAAUUUCAUUGGGGUGAUUUUCUAGCUUUUGAAAGAGAAUUGAAUAAAAAGCAAUUCUCUCCUGAGACAUUGUCCUAAUACCUGCUGGGGGUUUGAGGUGCUUAAAAGUGCAGAAAUUCCUAAAUUUUCAUAGGGACAGCAUGAGGGAGCCUUCUCUUAGAUUUCAAACCUUUUCCAAAAUGUGUUUUCUGAAAUGGAUUCACCUGGAAUUGUUAAUUGUUUUUUUUUUAUGUUCAAGAAGCAAUUGUUAGAUCAUUUUCUUGGUUUUCCUUUUUUUUUUUUUUCUUUUUUUUUUUUCUUUUUUUUUUUUUUUCUUUUUUCUUUUUUUUUUUUUAACAGGUUAAAUUGUUUAUUUCCCCUUAUUUCAUCCUUGGAAAAUGCAAUGCUUUGGCUGAAAUUCUCUAAAAUGCCCACUGUGAAAACUUCAGCCCACGUAGUUAUAAUUGAGAUAAAUUGUAAACAAUUGAAUGCAGGAUCUUCUAAUGAGAGGUAUCAAGGAAUAUUAAUAAUAGAUAUUAUUUCCAGCCAAGCCUGUAAUAAUACUUGAUAGGAUAUUUAAGGUAAAGAGAUGCAAGCACAAAGUGAGGCAAAUGUAUGUACUCAUCUUUUACAUUUUAAUGGAACUAAUUAAUGAGGCUGGCAUGCUUUUGAAAAUGCUUUAAUUUAUUCUUUGAUUAAAAAGUAGAAGUCUCUCAUUAGUGCAAAAAUAUCUUUUCUGAGUUACACUUCUGGAGUGUAUAAAACAGAUCAGUGCUGAUAUAAACUGGGAAUUUCAAAAUUAUUGUUUACACUGCAUACUAUUUCUGCAUCAUUCAUUGUGGAUUUACAUCAUAAUUAGUUUGCUCUGUUUUCCCUGCAGUGAGCUUGACUUGAAAUGGGAAAUUCCUUUGGAUUUAACUCUUGCACCUGAUGGCUGUUUCACUUUCAGACUUUGGCCAUACGACAUUCUUAAAAAAGUGUGCUUUGCUGGGUCUGGCUGAUAGUUUGAUGGCUUCCACCUCCUGUCAUGCAAACAGGGCUGGGGAAGCUUAGGAACACCACUGCUUUCCAUGAAGGCAGGAUUAGGCCCAGGUGAUGCCAUCUACUUUGUGGUGAUUUUUAAAUGACCUUUUCAAAUUCCUCCAAUUAAUUAAAUUUAUUUCAGCUUAUCCUGUAUCGCUGAUUGAAGUGAAGAACUUUAUUUUUGCCUUGAAGGUGGAAUAUGUACUGAAUAGUCUUUGCUGAAAGCUUUAAUCAAAGCUGGAUUGGAUUGCCUUUCUUCUGUACUGCCAGAAUUUUGUGUGGGGUUUUUUUUGUUGGGUUUUUUUAACCUUCCAAAUGACCUCCUUUGCUUUUAACUUUUUGUCAUUCUCCUUUUCUGUGGCAAGUGCCUGGAAUUUCUUGGUGCAGGUUUUCUAUGCCAUACACUUGGCCAUCUUUGCAAAGACAUCAAUCUGUCAAGGAAAUGAAAGACCUCACUGAAUUAAAAUAUAGCAUUUAGAAAUUAGUUACAUAAUGUUUAAUUCUUUGACAAUUGGACAACUGUGAAGAAGUAAAAUUUCUCUGUGCUUGGACUAUAAAAUAAGUGACAUUUGCUCUCUAGACUCUACAAGUGACUGCUCUGGCCAUGUUUUGCUGCCAGAUGCAGCGUACUUAAAUCAAGUAUGUUUUUUAGAGUAGUAAAUAUCAAGUCUAUUAACUUUCCUGAAGUGUAGAUAUGGAGAUAGGUAUCCUUAUUUGAGCAUUAAGUUCCCCUGGUCUGUUCAUCUCAUUAAGAUUUAUCAGGAGCAAAUGAGGCCUGUGCUCAGAAGGAAUUGCUUUAUUUCCUGUGCCAGAGGCAGCUUCUUUGAUGCUAGAUGAGGUCACUGACGGUGUUGUUUCUGUCAUCAUCCCACACAGCUUUGCAUGAGCAGCUCCUGCAAUAUUAAUCUCUUUUGGAGUUCUUUCAGCAUUUAGGUUUCAGGUGGCUUUUAUGCAAAAUAAAUUCUCCUUCCAUUUGUGAAAUUCCUGUACUGCUUUCUUAGGCCAGGCAUGCAAAUCACCACCACACCCCACAGUCUCCACAUUCUCCAAAUUUACGUAUUCUUCUACUAAUUUUUUUCCUCAGAAUUUUUUUUUUCAGUAUUUUUCUUGGAAGUUUUGCUUAGUCAAUUUGCCAAACUCUGUUCCAGCCUAUUUCAAUGUCAACCUGAUCCACAUGGAGCUUUCAUUUACUAGUUGUGCUGUCCAGCACAAUUAAUUUCUCAACCACAGCCCACUCUCUUUUCCACUGAGAAGAAAAUGGGGGAAAAACAUGGUAUUUUUUUUUUUUUCAUCAAGUCCAUCCUGCAAUGAGGUUCUAGUGUAUUUUGCCUCCAGCUGUCUUGUGGCUUGUCCCUAUAUCCUGCUGUUACCUCCUCUAAAAAAAGGCACAAACAAACUCUAUUGUGGUUCUUGUGUUAGGAGUGACAAGCAGGGAAAAAAAAGCAAGUAUUACCUUUCAUUUUAUAUUUCCCUUCAGUUUUGCCUCCCUGAUGUUUCUUUCUCUUCGUGGCUCAUUUUUCACCUGUGUUGUUCAGUACUCUAGUUUUUUUUCCAAACGUGUCUCAUGACAGGAAUGAAAAAUGUGUUUCCUGAGCAAGGCCACAGCUGAAUCCAGCUGUGCAGGCGCUGCCUGAGCCCCUGAACACGUGGGAGAGGGGCACAAUUAUUCCCCACCCUCCUCCCUCUCCUCCAGCUCGGCCCAGGCCCCUUGCAGGGACACUCGUGUGGGCAGUGCUGGUGGCUUUAAUUGGAUUUAAUUACUAAUAACAGCAUGGGGUGAUUGAGAGGCGUUCCACGAGUUGUUUUG
Molecule: long non-coding RNA, 3613 nt
Organism: Prinia subflava (tawny-flanked prinia)
Lineage: Eukaryota; Metazoa; Chordata; Aves; Passeriformes; Cisticolidae
Exons: 3
Source: RefSeq, a predicted model, not a curated record